CAAAUCCGUCCCGCGCCUUGCAAAUAAUUUUCGCUCUGUCUCCCGGAAAAAUUAGGAGUCCGCCGCCCCUCCUAAGUUAUUGGGAUGAACGUGUUUAUGGAAUGAAUAUGUUGUGCUUUGUUUUCGCCAUCCAUGUCAGGUGCGUGUAGAGGGUUCUAAGAGUGAGGAGCUUGCUGCCGCAUCAAGACUUGAGGAUGAUGUUAGUUUUUAUCAAACUGUGAAUCCUAAUUUU
This is a non-coding RNA of Cajanus cajan (pigeon pea), 232 nucleotides long. Lineage: Eukaryota; Viridiplantae; Streptophyta; Magnoliopsida; Fabales; Fabaceae. The record is from RefSeq and is a predicted model, not a curated record.